Gadus morhua (Atlantic cod) is the source of this 368-nucleotide long non-coding RNA. RefSeq lists it as uncharacterized. The transcript has 3 exons. The record is from RefSeq and is a predicted model, not a curated record. Lineage: Eukaryota; Metazoa; Chordata; Actinopteri; Gadiformes; Gadidae.
AGGGAGGGACAGAGAAAAGCACAAAGGAGACAGCAGAAAUUAUACCGGAAAGGACAGAGGAGACUCUAGAGACAACAGUUGAAAUGGAGGAAAGGACAGAGGAGAGCGCAGAAGGGACAGUAGAGUCAAAUGGAGGCACCAAAGAACAGGCUGAGGCUCAGGUGACAAUUCUGCACAGCAGUCUCCAAAAGAAGGACCAGAGAAUAAAACAACUAGAGGCACGCCUUGCAAGGCUGCAAAGGCUAAGACGCAGGAAAAGGAAGCCAGCUGGCAUGCCAAAAAAAUCCAAUCCCCAUGAAAUUAUGGAGGAGAGGCUCCAGAGGUGUCCUGAGGGCUGCCGGAACUUCAUAAGGGCACAACUGUCAGAG